RNAcentral lists this long non-coding RNA (490 nucleotides) under Homo sapiens (human). RNAcentral's name for it is "HSALNT0164660". Lineage: Eukaryota; Metazoa; Chordata; Mammalia; Primates; Hominidae. The record is from RNAcentral.
GAGAACUUCAAGAGCUCUAGCGUCCUGCACCAGAAGCCCCUGGGAGAUUAUCAAAAUGCAGAUCCCUGGGCUAUAUAUCAGGCCCAUGAAUAGAAAGUUCUAGACUAGGACCUGGGACUCCGUAACCUCUUAUGCAGAAGUCUACCAGUUUCCUCAGAUCUUGGAUAUUGAGCAAAUGGAGAAACAAAGAUGAAUAAGACACAAUCUCUGCCCUUAAGGAACCUGGUUUGAUGAAAACAAAGGGUAAAGAGAACAAAGGGGUGUGAGGGACCAAAGAGAAGUGAACACGAGAAGAGCAGCAAAGAGAAGAUGAUGCCCCGGAAAGUGGGACAGAGCUGGGGAGACAGUGAACUGGAAAUCAUCGGCAUGGAGACAGGGGCCAUGAACUUAAUCUUUAGGGUGUCCUCAUCCUCCUACCAAGACGACAGCCAACACCUCACAAUGACAAAAGGAAAAUAACAAGACAGAGCAAAUCAUAGACCAGAGGUAA